UACAGGGGGGGCAAGCGUUAAUCGGAAUUACUGGGCGUAAAGCGUGCGCAGGCGGUUGUGCAAGACAGAUGUGAAAUCCCCGGGCUUAACCUGGGAACUGCAUUUGUGACUGCACAGCUGGAGUGCGGCAGAGGGGGAUGGAAUUCCGCGUGUAGCAGUGAAAUGCGUAGAUAUGCGGAGGAACACCGAUGGCGAAGGCAAUCCCCUGGGCCUGCACUGACGCUCAUGCACGAAAGCGUGGGGAGCAAACAGG
RNAcentral lists this ribosomal RNA (253 nucleotides) under uncultured bacterium. RNAcentral's name for it is "partial 16S ribosomal RNA". It matches the Rfam family "Bacterial small subunit ribosomal RNA", at positions 524 to 776 of the family's 1533-position model. The record is from RNAcentral.